Molecule: transfer RNA, 27 nt
Filed under: Juniperus osteosperma
Lineage: Eukaryota; Viridiplantae; Streptophyta; Pinopsida; Cupressales; Cupressaceae
Description: partial tRNA-Ser
Source: RNAcentral
CGCUUUAGUCCGCUCAGCCAUCUCUCC